RNAcentral lists this long non-coding RNA (1175 nucleotides) under Citrus x clementina. Its description in RNAcentral is "Citrus clementina (C. clementina) long non-coding RNA (CCLE_LNC006239)". Lineage: Eukaryota; Viridiplantae; Streptophyta; Magnoliopsida; Sapindales; Rutaceae. The record is from RNAcentral.
GGGCAAAGCCGUGCCCAAAAAUAAACCCCGAAGGCCGGGGCGCCAGAUUCGUCCAGUGGAAAAAGGCCACAAAAACGGGUGGGCUAUAGCCUUGUGGGGUGGGGCUGGCCCACUUCGUCCGCCGGACUCGGAAUGCCACGAGACUUUGCUAGGGGCCUCCGUGUGCCAAAAAUAGCCCGCAGGUAAAGCCGCGCCAAAAAAUAACCGCCCGAAGGCCGGGGCGCCAGGUUUGUCCAGCGGAAAAAGGCAACAAAAACGGGUGGGCCAUUGCCUUGGGGGGUGGGGCUGGCCAACUUCGUCCGCCGGACUCGGAAUGGCGCGAGACUUUCCGAGGGGCCUCUGUGUGCCAAAAAUAGGCCGCGGGCAAAGCCGCGUCAAAAAAUAACCGACCGAAGGCCGGGGCGCCAAGUUUGACCAGCGGAAAAAGGCCACAAAAACAGGUGGGCUAUAGCCUUGGGGGGUGGGGCUGGCCAACUUCGUCCGCCGGACUCGGAAUGGCGCGUGACUUUGCCAGGGGCCUCCGUGUGCCAAAAAUAGGCCCCCGGGUAAGCCGCGCCCAAAAAUAACCGCCCGAAGGCCGGGGCGCCAAGUUCGUCCAGCGGAAAAAGCCCACAAAAACGGGUGGGCUAUUGCCUUGGGGGGUGGGGCUGGCCAACGUCGUCCGCCGGACUCGGAAUGGCACGAGACUUUCUGAGGGGCCUCCGUGUGCCAAAAAUAGGCCACGGGCAAAGCUGCGCCCAAAAAUAACUAAAACCGAAGGCCGGGGCGCCAAGUUUGUCCAGCGGAAAAAGGCCACAAAAACGGGUGGGCUAUAGCCUUGGGCGGUGGGGCUGGCCCACUUCGUCCGCCGGACUCGGAAUGCCGUGAGACUUUGCAAGCGGCCUCCGUGUGCCAAGAAUAGACCGCGGGCACAGUCACGCCCAAAAAUAACCGCCCGAAGGAUGGGGCGCCAAGUUCGUCCAGUAGAAAAAGGGCACAAAAACGGGUGGGCUAUAGCCUUGGGGGGUGGGGCUGGCCAACUUCGUCCGCCGGACUCGGAAUGGUGCGAGACUUCGCGAGCGGCCUCCGUGUGCCAAAAAUAGGCCGCGGGCACAGCCGUACCCAAAAAUAACCGCCCGAAGGCCGGGGCGCCAUGUUCGUCCAGCGGAAAAAGGCCACAAAAACGGGUGGGCUAU